UGGGGAAUUUUGGACAAUGGGCGCAAGCCUGAUCCAGCCAUUCCGCGUGAGUGAAGAAGGCCUUCGGGUUGUAAAGCUCUUUCAGCAGGAACGAAACGGGUCGCGUUAAUACCGCGAUCUAAUGACGGUACCUGAAGAAGAAGCACCGGCUAACUACGUGCCAGCAGCCGCGGUAAUACGUAGGGUGCGAGCGUUAAUCGGAAUUACUGGGCGUAAAGCGUGCGCAGGCGGUUUGUUAAGACAGGUGUGAAAUCCCCGGGCUUAACCUGGGAAUUGCGCUUGUAACUGGCAAGCUAGAGUGUGUCAGAGGGAGGUAGAAUUCCACGUGUAGCAGUGAAAUGCGUAGAGAUGUGGAGGAAUACCGAUGGCGAAGGCAGCCUCCUGGGAUAACACUGACGCUCAUGCACGAAAGCGUGGGGAGCAAACAGG
This 429-nucleotide ribosomal RNA is filed under the name uncultured bacterium. RNAcentral describes it as "bacterial SSU rRNA". It matches the Rfam family "Bacterial small subunit ribosomal RNA", at positions 355 to 776 of the family's 1533-position model. The record is from RNAcentral.